RNAcentral lists this ribosomal RNA (496 nucleotides) under uncultured bacterium. RNAcentral's name for it is "partial 16S ribosomal RNA". It matches the Rfam family "Bacterial small subunit ribosomal RNA", at positions 28 to 506 of the family's 1533-position model. The record is from RNAcentral.
GAUGAACGCUGGCGGCGUGCCUAAUACAUGCAAGUCGAGCGAACAGAUGAGGAGCUUGCUCCUCUGACGUUAGCGGCGGACGGGUGAGUAACACGUGGAUAACCUACCUAUAAGACUGGGAUAACUUCGGGAAACCGGAGCUAAUACCGGAUAAUAUAUUGAACCGCAUGGUUCAAUAGUGAAAGACGGUUUUGCUGUCACUUAUAGAUGGAUCCGCGCCGCAUUAGCUAGUUGGUAAGGUAACGGCUUACCAAGGCAACGAUGCGUAGCCGACCUGAGAGGGAGAUCGGCCACACGGGAUAGGAGAAACGGUCCAGCCCCCACGGGGGGGCAAGAGAGGGAGAGCUCCCAAGAGGGGCAAAAGCAAGAGGGAGCAAGCCCGAGUGGGUGUAGAGGGAUUUGGGAUCAGAAAACCAUGUUAUUAGGAAAGAAAAAAUGUGUAAGAAAAUUUGCCCGUUUUACGGGUGCCUAAAAAAAAAGCACCGGAAAACCUCGA